This 253-nucleotide ribosomal RNA is filed under the name uncultured bacterium. RNAcentral's name for it is "partial 16S ribosomal RNA". It matches the Rfam family "Bacterial small subunit ribosomal RNA", at positions 524 to 776 of the family's 1533-position model. The record is from RNAcentral.
UACGUAGGGUGCAAGCGUUGUCCGGAAUUAUUGGGCGUAAAGAGCUCGUAGGCGGUUUGUCGCGUCUGCUGUGAAAACCCGAGGCUCAACCUCGGGCCUGCAGUGGGUACGGGCAGACUAGAGUGCGGUAGGGGAGAUUGGAAUUCCUGGUGUAGCGGUGGAAUGCGCAGAUAUCAGGAGGAACACCAGUGGCGAAGGCGGUUGCCUGGAGCUUUGCUGACGCUGAGGCGCGAAAGCGUGGGGAGCGAUCCGG